This 253-nucleotide ribosomal RNA is filed under the name uncultured bacterium. RNAcentral describes it as "partial 16S ribosomal RNA". It matches the Rfam family "Bacterial small subunit ribosomal RNA", at positions 524 to 776 of the family's 1533-position model. The record is from RNAcentral.
UACAGAGGGUGCGAGCGUUAAUCGGAAUUACUGGGCGUAAAGCGCACGUAGGCGGCUUGGUAUGUCGGGUGUGAAAUCCCCGGGCUCAACCUGGGAACUGCAUCCGAAACUGCCUUGCUAGAGUAUGGGAGAGGGAGGUGGAAUUUCCGGUGUAGCGGUGAAAUGCGUAGAUAUCGGAAGGAACAUCAGUGGCGAAGGCGACUUCCUGGACCAAUACUGACGCUCAGGUGCGAAAGCGUGGGGAGCAAACAGG